UAGGGAAUCUUCGGCAAUGGACGAAAGUCUGACCGAGCAACGCCGCGUGAGUGAAGAAGGUUUUCGGAUCGUAAAACUCUGUUGUUAGAGAAGAACAAGGACGUUAGUAACUGAACGUCCCCUGACGGUAUCUAACCAGAAAGCCACGGCUAACUACGUGCCAGCAGCCGCGGUAAUACGUAGGUGGCAAGCGUUGUCCGGAUUUAUUGGGCGUAAAGCGAGCGCAGGCGGUUUCUUAAGUCUGAUGUGAAAGCCCCCGGCUCAACCGGGGAGGGUCAUUGGAAACUGGGAGACUUGAGUGCAGAAGAGGAAAGUGGAAUUCCAUGUGUAGCGGUGAAAUGCGUAGAUGUAUGGAGGAACACCAGUGGCGAAGGCGGCUCUCUGGUCUGUAACUGACGCUGAGGCUCGAAAGCGUGGGGAGCAAACAGG
This 429-nucleotide ribosomal RNA is filed under the name Gemmatimonadota bacterium. RNAcentral's name for it is "Gemmatimonadetes bacterium partial 16S ribosomal RNA". It matches the Rfam family "Bacterial small subunit ribosomal RNA", at positions 355 to 776 of the family's 1533-position model. The record is from RNAcentral. Lineage: Bacteria; Pseudomonadati; Gemmatimonadota.